GUUCAGUUAAAUGCAGGGGACGACAUGACCAGUAUCGUGGAGAUUGUCUUACCCCCCGCCUUUGGUCAACGACUUGAAGGAGUGGCGGCAAUAUCUCCUUCCAUCGGUUUGGGUUUGCAUCCAUGCUGCAGACAUCAGUUUGUCCUGAAAGGCAGUGGGUUCUGGAUCGACAACUCACUACUCCUUCGUGAAUGACACCUGUCUUCCCAGUUGGUGAGCAACAUGAGACAGUGUCGGGAAGGCAGCAUUUCAUAGUGCGCAGAUAUCGCAGGAGUGGUCUGGAACCCUGGAGCCACCGUGCAAAUGGCACAAAUCCAGAGGUUUGGAAAGCAAGGAGCCUGUCGGCCAUGUGGCAUGAGGUCACCUCUCCAUCCAUUGCCGUAGAGGGCGCUAUUCAACACAGCCCGCAUACACCAGAGAUAGUUGAGUUAAGUUUUCUGAGCUGUCCAACAGCCAUAGAAGGCUCUAUAAUGCUAUCUUGUUUUUCGCCUAAACACACCCAUCCCCCCCCAAAAAAAAAA
This is a long non-coding RNA of Patiria miniata (bat star), 521 nucleotides long. RefSeq lists it as uncharacterized. The transcript has 4 exons. The record is from RefSeq and is a predicted model, not a curated record. NCBI's taxonomy places the organism in Eukaryota, Metazoa, Echinodermata, Asteroidea, Valvatida, Asterinidae.